RNAcentral lists this ribosomal RNA (419 nucleotides) under uncultured bacterium. RNAcentral's name for it is "bacterial SSU rRNA". It matches the Rfam family "Bacterial small subunit ribosomal RNA", at positions 355 to 773 of the family's 1533-position model. The record is from RNAcentral.
UAAGGAAUAUUGCUCAAUGGGAGAAAUCCUGAAGCAGCAACGCCGCGUGGAGGAUGAAGGGUCUAUGACUUGUAAACUCCUGUAAAGAAGGAAAAAAUUCCCAUUUGAUGGGAGAUGAUGGUACUUCUGGAGUAAGCCCCGGCUAACUACGUGCCAGCAGCCGCGGUAAUACGUAGGGGGCAAGCGUUGUCCGGAUUUACUGGGUGUAAAGGGUGCUCAGGCGGAUUUGUAAGUCAGAGGUGAAGUCUUACAGCUUAACUGUGAAACUGCCUUUGAUACUGCAAGCCUAGAGUAUGGAAGAGAGUGAUGGAAUAUCUGGUGUAGCAGUGAAAUGCGUAGAUAUCAGAUAGAACACCAAUGGCGAAGGCAGUCACUUGGUCCAUUACUGACGCUAAAGCACGAAAGCGUGGGUAGCAAAC